Cricetulus griseus (Chinese hamster) is the source of this 87-nucleotide non-coding RNA. The record is from Rfam. Lineage: Eukaryota; Metazoa; Chordata; Mammalia; Rodentia; Cricetidae.
CCUUCAAUAGCUCAGCCAGUAGAGUGGAGGACUGUAGUGUCUGUGACAGCCAUCCUUAGGUCUCUGGUUCAAUUCCGGCUCGAAGGA